This 465-nucleotide ribosomal RNA is filed under the name Vreelandella stevensii. RNAcentral describes it as "partial 16S ribosomal RNA". It matches the Rfam family "Bacterial small subunit ribosomal RNA", at positions 338 to 795 of the family's 1533-position model. The record is from RNAcentral. Lineage: Bacteria; Pseudomonadati; Pseudomonadota; Gammaproteobacteria; Oceanospirillales; Halomonadaceae.
CCUACGGGGGGCUGCAGUGGGGAAUAUUGGACAAUGGGCGAAAGCCUGAUCCAGCCAUGCCGCGUGUGUGAAGAAGGCCUUCGGGUUGUAAAGCACUUUCAGUGGGGAAGAAAGCCUUGGGGCUAAUACCCUCGAGGAAGGACAUCACCCACAGAAGAAGCACCGGCUAACUCCGUGCCAGCAGCCGCGGUAAUACGGAGGGUGCGAGCGUUAAUCGGAAUUACUGGGCGUAAAGCGCGCGUAGGCGGUCUGAUAAGCCGGUUGUGAAAGCCCCGGGCUCAACCCGGGAACGGCAUCCGGAACUGUCAGGCUAGAGUGCAGGAGAGGAAGGUAGAAUUCCCGGUGUAGCGGUGAAAUGCGUAGAGAUCGGGAGGAAUACCAGUGGCGAAGGCGGCCUUCUGGACUGACACUGACGCUGAGGUGCGAAAGCGUGGGUAGCAAACAGGAUUAGAUACCCUAGUAGUC